GACGAACGCUGGCGGCGUGCCUAAUACAUGCAAGUAGAACGCUGAAGGAAGGAGCUUGCUCUUUCUGGAUGAGUUGCGAACGGGUGAGUAACGCGUAGGUAACCUGCCUGGUAGCGGGGGAUAACUAUUGGAAACGAUAGCUAAUACCGCAUAAAAUUGAUUAUUGCAUGAUAGUCAAUUAAAAGGUGCAACUGCACCACUACCAGAUGGACCUGCGUUGUAUUAGCUAGUUGGUGGGGUAACGGCUCACCAAGGCGACGAUACAUAGCCGACCUGUGAGGGUGGUCGGCCACACUGGGACUGAGACACGGCCCAGACUCCUACGGGAGGCAGCAGUAGGGAAUCUUCGGCAAUGGACGGAAGUCUGACCGAGCAACGCCGCGGGAGUGAAGAAGGUUGUCGGAUCGUAAAGCUCUGUUGUAAGAGAAGAACGAGUGUGAGAGUGGAAAGUUCACACUGUGACGGUAUCUUACCAGAAAGGGACGGCUAACUACGUG
This 497-nucleotide ribosomal RNA is filed under the name uncultured bacterium. RNAcentral's name for it is "partial 16S ribosomal RNA". It matches the Rfam family "Bacterial small subunit ribosomal RNA", at positions 28 to 507 of the family's 1533-position model. The record is from RNAcentral.